CACAUGCAAGUCGAACGGUAACAGGUUAAGCUGACGAGUGGCGAACGGGUGAGUAAUAUAUCGGAACGUGCCCAGUCGUGGGGGAUAACUGCUCGAAAGAGCAGCUAAUACCGCAUACGACCUGAGGGUGAAAGCGGGGGAUCGCAAGACUCGCGCGAUUGGAGCGGCGAUAUCAGAUUAGGUAGUUGGUGGGGUAAAAGCCCACCAAGCCAACGAUCUGUAGCUGGUCUGAGAGGACGACCAGCCACACUGGGACUGAGACACGGCCCAGACUCCUACGGGAGGCAGCAGUGGGGAAUUUUGGACAAUGGACGCAAGUCUGAUCCAGCCAUGCCGCGUGCGGGAAGAAGGCCUUCGGGUUGUAAACCGCUUUUGUCAGGGAAGAAACGGCUUUUUCUAAUACAGAGAGCUAAUGACGGUACCUGAAGAAUAAGCACCGGCUAACUACGUGCCAGCAGCCGCGGUAAUACGUAGGGUGCAAGCGUUAAUCGGAAUUACUGGGCGUAAAGCGUGCGCAGGCGGUUAUGCAAGACAGAUGUGAAAUCCCCGGGCUCAACCUGGGAACUGCAUUUGUGACUGCAUAGCUAGAGUACGGUAGGGGGGGAUGGAAUUCCGCGUGUAGCAGUGAAAUGCGUAGAUAUGCGGAGGAACACCGAUGGCGAAGGCAAUCCCCCUGGACCUGUACUGACGCUCAUGCACGAAAGCGUGG
This 709-nucleotide ribosomal RNA is filed under the name uncultured bacterium. RNAcentral describes it as "bacterial SSU rRNA". It matches the Rfam family "Bacterial small subunit ribosomal RNA", at positions 52 to 764 of the family's 1533-position model. The record is from RNAcentral.